GACGGAGGAGGCAAGCGUUGUUCGGAUUUACUGGGCGUAAAGGGCGCGUAGGCGGCGCGUAAAGUCGGACAUGAAAUCAUUAGGCUCAACCUAAUGGCUGUGUCCGAUACUUACGUGCUUGGAGUGCGGGAGAGGCAGCCGGAAUUCUCGGUGUAGCGGUGAAAUGCGUAGAUAUCGAGAGGAACACCGGUGACGAAGGUGGGUUGCUGGACCGACACUGACGCUGAGGCGCGAAAGCUAGGGGAGCAAACGGG
This 254-nucleotide ribosomal RNA is filed under the name uncultured bacterium. RNAcentral's name for it is "partial 16S ribosomal RNA". It matches the Rfam family "Bacterial small subunit ribosomal RNA", at positions 524 to 776 of the family's 1533-position model. The record is from RNAcentral.